Long non-coding RNA from Sapajus apella (tufted capuchin), 1422 nucleotides. RefSeq lists it as uncharacterized. The record is from RefSeq and is a predicted model, not a curated record. Lineage: Eukaryota; Metazoa; Chordata; Mammalia; Primates; Cebidae. The transcript has 2 exons.
AUUAUCCAGCUUAAUUGUCUACACUCUGCACAAGGGACAUCCUCAUCCUCUUUGGAGUGUCACACAAUUUUAUCUCUUUCUUUUGCCACCUAUGCCAUUUUCAUCAGUUUCUGUGGAUGUGUAAAUUGCUGAUUAAAUAAAAGAUGCAUAGAUGAACAAUAGCUUUUCUAGUUAUGACUUAGAAAGUCUUGAUAUGUAAGUGCUCCUUGAGUGUAGCAGGCCAAUGGCCAAACUGCUACUUGACUGAAAAAUAACUGACAUAUUCACUUGUAAGCCUCAUGUAUGUAUAGCACCCUGUCCCCCUAGUAAACAUAAUGGAUUACAUAAAACUUGUAGAUGACAUGAAAUUUCAUAAUUGCAUAUAAUUUUAUAAAUAUAAAACUCAUACUUUCUGAAAAAUUAAAGGACAAAAGUUGAUAGAAGUCCCUUGGUUCAAAGUUAUAUUCCAUCUAGCCUCUAACAAGCUCCUUUUUACUUUGACUAAGAGGAUUUGAACUGAUUGGGGCUUUAGGGCUCAAAAACAAAAGAUAAUAUGUGCUCUGAAUGAGUCAAUGAGUUUAUGGCCUAGAGCAUAUAUCACUGCUCCAAAUUGGAUUCUGCUUUGCACCUAAAUUUAAAAAUACAUACUGUCUGAUAUUUGAAAUACAAGCUGCAUGCGUUUGUGGAAUUCAGUCUGGUCUUGAGUCCCUGCCUCCAUCAGCUGUUCUGGUCUGAUUUAUCUUGAAUCAGGCAUUAACAGAGAAUGAUUGCCAUGCCUGUUCUCAUUAUUAAUCCUUGCUGUGAGUAUUUGGUAUGAGGCUUUAGUUGGGUAAAUCUGCUUCUACCUUGUUCCUUGUUUCUAUGACCUAGUUGUUACAUUGUAGUUCUCUUGUAGUAACCUGCUUAGUAUGCAGGGAAAUUUCUAUUUUUGGACCCUGACCUACUGUUAUCAUUUUCACUCCUGAAUUGAGUGUUCUGAGCCUGAGCUCUGACCAUUAGAUGAAACUCUGCCACCCCUGAUAGCUACCUUUGAUAUUGACUGUAUCUUCUGGAACUUCAGUGUUUCUGCCAUGUCCAGCUUCUACAUUUGAUCCUGAAUUGCCUUUGGCCUUAGAGCCCCACUUGCUGGAGAUUUGCAUAGACUAGGUUCAGAGAUUAGACUUUGCUUGCCUGUCCUAUUUAACCUCCUGUCAGAACUUGCAGCUGAGUCAGCACCUGGUACUUUUCCUGCCCUGGUGAGUAGGCAAGAAUGACAGUGAACCAAAAGGCUUUGGAAGUCCUCUGUGAGUAUGUCAGACCUGCCUUCCUCGACCCAGUUUACCAUGGAGCAGAGCUGCCAGCUGACUUUGGAUACUUACUUCUGAAUGUUCCCUGAUUGAGAAAUGAAUUAUUUUUAUAGGACAAUUUAGCCUUUUACUCUAAUUAAUACAAAUAUAAAUAGAA